UCCGCCCCUCAGGGUCACAGGCGCUGACGUCACGCCCCGGGCUCCAUUUACAUACAUCAAGGAAAUGAGGGCAUUAAAGCAAUAUAUGCUAAUCCGGCGCAGUCCUGCGCCCGGGCUCCCACCCAUUCUCUUACUGAAUUGGGCGCUACUUUCCUUUUAUUUCUUCUCUUUUUUUUAACAUGACCAAAAAAAAAAAUCCUUUAAAAAGGAAGGACGAGGCCGCCCGGUGCCGCCGCGGAGCUGCUGGAAGUGCGGGGAGAGGAGAGAGCGCUGCCAGAGGAUGAGGGCUGUAGGGCUGGACUCGCCUAUGCAUUAAUAAGGGCUCCUGCGCCAUUCCCUUCUCUGCUCCUGUUGGCUCCAGCCUCUAUUAGCUUUAAAUACUGAUGCAUAUGUAAAGGAUGUGGUGAGAGAGCGACACCUGCUGGCCAUGGGCAGAUGCGGUAACUGUUGCCUCAGAGAUGAGACUUUUUCUGCAGAUUGCAUUUCGAAUAUUUCUGGAUGAUUCGACGCAGUGGGGGCCUUGGGUUAUAUAAUCGAAAGUGUUUGCUCGAUCUCAGCUAUUCGAUAUUUUAUUAUUGCAUUCCCUGCCAACCCUCCCAAAUGAUUCCACUUGGUACCUUCUAUACAGCACCUGGUAUAGUUCCGAUACAGCACGGUAGGGCGAAGUCGAUUAAAUGUACUAUAUGUGUGCGCCUUGUCAUAUACAAUAUAGCUAUAUAAAUGUCUGUGUGUUCCCUAUAUAUAUAUAUAUAUAUGUAUAUACCCGGGCAUGCUAUAAUAAUCAGGCUGAUCACUCCACUCCUGUACCCUGCUGUCAAUUAGAGGGAGGUACAAACUGUACAAACAUCACACAAACCUGGGGCCCCAACUUGUCCAGCACUGACGGGUAAGGUUUGUUUGGCAGUAACCCUCUCAGUGCCAGGAGCUGUACAACCCACUGACUGGCACUCAUUGCCAACAAACAAAUUGCCAUUUGCCAAGUGGUAUGUCCCCUGGACUUGAAAUAAAAGUAUGGGGAACCUAUACAAGAAUUUGAGUGAGAUGUCCAAAAAUAAUUGUGUAUGGGAGUGUGUCUGAGUGUGCCUGUGUAUAUGUGGGUGUGUGUCUGACUGUGUCUGUGAGUCUAUGUAUA
Xenopus tropicalis (tropical clawed frog) is the source of this 1132-nucleotide long non-coding RNA. RefSeq lists it as uncharacterized. The record is from RefSeq and is a predicted model, not a curated record. The transcript is spliced from 3 exons. NCBI's taxonomy places the organism in Eukaryota, Metazoa, Chordata, Amphibia, Anura, Pipidae.